CUCCGGGUGUCUGCACACGCCAAGUGGAAUCCCCUCUGGGUGACACCGUUUCCUUUAUGUGUAGGAAGGGUUGGGUGGGAAAGGUUAGGACCACGGUGCUCAAUCUGUGCUCAGAGCUCGCAAGAGGGACCAAGAGACCUGAACUUACAUCUCCAUCACUGCAUUCACAUGAGUUACAAGAGAAUGCAGAGCACGGGUCUGUGCCUGGGUAUCUCACGUGACAGCAUCUCUUUUUCUGGACUUUCUUGAAGGUGGGUCUGGUACACAUGUGUAUCUUCGGGGGGGAGUAGGGUUUUGUUGUUGUUUAUCUGUCACAAAGUAUUUGAAAGUUUUGGUUUUGUGCUAACAUGAAGCAGGAAAUGUUGGGGAGUGACUAAAUAAUUUGCUUACUGGGAAGCAGAGACUAGGAUGCAGACCUUGGCACAGAUUCCCAUGCAAUAUAAAAGAACAGCUGUAGAAAGAAAUGUUAAAAGUGUGAAUGAGAUAAAGAUACUUAGUCCCAACAGAUUCGUGUGAGAACAGCUUUUGUGGAAUUGAAGCAUGAGAAGGGUCCCAGAAUGGACUGGGAGGAUCGCAGUUGUGGCUUUAAAUGCUGGUUUUGGAGAGCGUAUGUGGUAAACAAAGAGAAAUGGGGGGGUGGAGGGGGACUUUUUAAAAUGAUGCAUAAGAGCCUGGUUUAAAAUGUUAAUGAUGUGGGAGAUUAGAGCAUCACUCUGUUCAGAUAGCCUUCGAGGCAAGCUACAAGAUUGAAAAUGAGUUGGAGAGAAAUUGGUACUAACAGUAGCCAGUCACAGUCAUGUCACAUUAUGGUAUUAACGUUCUGAGUACCAGCAAACACAGGUUCAUUUUGAAGAAUAAUUGGUGGGAGAUGCUGACUGUCCAGAAAAAGCAGGCCUCUUUGUAGCCUGAGGAUUUUGUGUUUAACACUUUAGUCUGAAUCUUUUAUUUUACUUCAUCAUGUUCUUUGAUGACUCUUUUGAAUUAACUGCUUUUUACCCACUGCUGUAUAUAUUAGAGUUAACACUUGCAGGGAACUUCUGUGUCAUAUCUGGGGUUUCUACUCUCCGCAUUUUCUUUACUGAACAUUUGGGAGCAGAUCAGCUCAUGCAGUUGCCAAACUCUUAACCGUGUCCAGAAUUUGGAGAUUAUUUUUCUUCCAUUUCCCAGAAUAAUCUGUUGGGCAGCGUUUUCCACUCCUGGCUGCUUUUACAUAGUGUGUGCCCUUCAGGAUAAUGCUCUGGAACCCCACCAUGGCCUUGUUAGCUAAUUGAAGAGUCUAGAAGAAAAUGUGAUCUGUAAAAGUUACAAAUCAAUAGAGGUGGAGGAAAAGAAUUAUUUGUAGUCUUAGAAAACAGUUUGCCCACAGAAAGAAAAAUCUCACCUCGUUAGUAAGGAAGAGUUUUACCAUGAGUUAUGGCAUUUACUCAUUAGACAACAAUGACUGUGUAAAUGAUCACUCGAGGGAUUUGUGAACACUGUAGAGAGAGAAACUGUCUCCACCACCCAUCCAGUACGAGGCUGAAGUGGCAGUACUGCCCUUUCCGAGAAUUUCCAUCCACCAUUCCAGUCUCAUACCAUUCAUUUCACCCACUGUGAAUUAGGACUAGUAGCAAAGCCUUUCUGGAUUUCUAGCCCCCAUGCUGACCUUGGGGUACUCCUUUAACCAUUCCACCCAUCCAAAAUUAGACCAGCGUGGCAGCAUCAUUCCUCAUAAGGAUUUUCAGGCCGCCCCCAAGUCUUUGAUCUACCACCAAAGACAUGCUUUUUUACGUAUUACUACCAAAGGAUGGAUUUACAGAAAUAUGUAGCAUUUUGAUCUUCCUGUCCUUCCUUAUUCACAUCAGCAGUCCCCAGCGUGUUGCUCACAUUUUUAAUGUUACAUACAAUAGUGGCAGGACAACCGCCUGUUCUCUGUCCUUGCCAUUGUGGUUUCCAUGGGCUGUUGAGUUUUGAAUGGGCUCACGUGAGUGAGAAUCUCCUUAUAGCAGGAAAAAGUAGAGCGGUGAUUUAAAUAUUGCUCCUGAUUUUUCAGUAAACUGAUAUGUUACAGCAUACUUCUGCAUAAUAGCAGGCAUCUGUCUUUCUGGCUGUAAUGUAAGCUAUUAAGAAAUAAUAAAAUUGAAGUAAUUGUUUCAAAGACCGCAAUAAAAUAGCGAUGGCACUAAGAUCUCUUUCUCGGGCGUUGGUAAUCCAAGUGUAAGUGGUGGGGUGCAACAGCCAGUCUAACAGUACUGCUGCUAUGGACUGGAUUUGGGGUGUUGCUGCAGCACUGCACUAAUCUGCCAGUACACAGGCCUUCAUCUUGUUUCUUCCUACUUCAGGUUAUAAACUAAUUCAAAAUUCUGUUUAUAUGAUAGUUAGAGUGACACCCAGUUCGCUCUUGUAGUCUGUUUUUCUUUUAAAAUAACUUGGGUAAUCAUGAUGCACUUGAUGGCAGAUUACAUGAAGAAUGUGAUGUUUUGUCCAUUUCAUGACAAUGCUGUGAUAAAAAAUAACAUCUCUGAUCCAUGAAGGUGGCAGGAGAUACCAUGAAACCCAUGCCACAAUGAUACAAUUCAUCAGUAUGUCUUGUUUCAGUGAAGAAAACUGAAGAAAACUUCUGCUUAAUACCCUGGAUUACCUGGAUUACCCUUGUUGAUCCUUUGAAGAGCGUGCUCCUUUAAUGUGGAACGUUUGUGGGAUGACCUGUCAUGCUGUAAAAGUAAAUAUGGGAGUCAUCCUUCUGAAUGGUAGUGGAAUUGUAUUUUACCCCCUAGGAAAACCAGCCCACAGGUCGGUUUGCUUAUCUGGUUAGGCAUCUUCAGGUAAUGGUGGUUGCAAGGAUGACUUCUCAAUUAUAUAUGCUAGAUCUUUGUGCUUCCUAGUAGCUCUCUAGCAGCACAUUACUGAAAUGUAGUGAGGAAUAUUUCUGUAUAAGCCAUGGAAACUAUGUAGUGUGGGGCUUAUCUUCACCCCUUUGCAAACAAACCCAGGGGACGAAUGGCACUGAGGACCAUGGAGCAGAGGCCGUGUAUGAAGAGGGUGAGGCCUGGCUGUUAAGAGAUAAGGCGCUGUCCUUAAUGGCACUAGUACCUAUUUUUUGGGAGGUGUUUUAGUCUGAGAGGAGCUGGGAUCUUUUACAAACAUCCUAAGCUCCUUCUGCUGCCUAAGAAGUAAUUUGAUACAGAUCAAUUCCUCGGAUACUGCCAAAAAGUUACUUUCCAGUGGGAUAAGCUGCCGGAUCACUGUAGCUGCAUAAAGAGAUUCUGGCAGAGGAGGGAAUGGUGUGAAAAUGACGAAUAAAAACAGCUAAGGCAGAAUGAAGAAUGCAGUGUGGGUUUUUGUUGGGUUUUUGUUGUUUUUUCUUCAUGUAUUCGUGCUAGCUUGAAGUAUUCAUCCCACUACAGCCUUAACAGAUCUUUCUUGUUGCUUUGGCAUCUACAGAGAAGAACAGGCUGUUUACCUUCAGGAGGAUUUUUCCAGUAGUGCUGCUUUUGUUCUCUGCUUCUUUACAUUCUGAGUUCGUUUAACGUGAGGCCAGUUAAAACUAUCUGUUAUGGCUCUGACUUAAAACCAGCAAGAGAACGGAAACCCUGCCAGUGGGCUUGCUUGGGUCCUGGCCCCGGCUUGCAGACACGUGCAUCGGUCUGCAGGCGCGUAUUCCUCUGCAGUCAGUGGAGAUGUCUGUGUUUGUCAAAUUAAACCCAGGCAAGUAAGCAGAGGUGCAGACCCUUUGGUUUCCUUUGGCAAACGACUUGGAUUUUAUGGUGCGUUUCAACUGGAAGCGAUGCUCUGACCCCCGCUUUUGAUGAAGUAACUGCGUCGUGCCUCCUGCCGGCUCAGCCCUAGCGCCCUGCUCACCUCUCAGCUUGCUAACGCCGGUUUUGAAGUUGCCGUCGGGAGCGCAGAACAGCUGGCAAGGAGAAAUGGCACUGGAGAGAGAGAAAAGCAGCAGCUACUGCUAAUGGAUUGUUUCAGAAUGGAGUGUGGGUUGUAGGAGAGUGGUGUAAAUGUCUGCCUACAUACACACGUAUCUGUGUAUACAUUACAUCUAAGCUUGCACAGUAAUUCUGACCCAGUUCUACCAACUUAAAUUCCGAAUGUGUUUUUGGCAUAAAACUUUUCACAAAUGCCCGUUAAACAUUUCUGAAGUUGAGUCGGUUAAUAUUCUACAGAUGUUUCUCUUCCUGGAAACCCUGUAAGAGUCAGCUGCAGUAUUUGUUUAAAGGUACUCGGUGUUAUGCUCUCAGUCAUUGCUCUGUGUGGAAAUUGCUCUCUGGUGAAUUCCAACAUCUGAAGAACAAUGUAUGUUUUACAUUAGGAGAGCCAUUUAGCUUUUUUUCUCCCUCUUGGAAGGGACUCAGGUAUCCAGCAGGCACCGAAUGAGCUCUCACUCUGCGGUUAUGCUUCUGAGGAUGAUGCACGCCUUCCAUUUUGGGUCAGCCGAUAAUUAUGGUGGAUUCUUCAUUUUGACAAAAGCGAGGCUUUUUAGUUACACUUACAGAGCGUCCGCCAAGGGAGGAAUUUAUUUCAGAGCAAAUAGUGGGAAAUUUUGCCUCCUACCUGAGGAAACCUUCAGACUGUCAGCUUUUGCAGUUUAGCCAGCCAGGUACGAGCAUUAGAAGAGCAGCAGUCCCUGCACCAUACGAAAUCCAAACAAGAAGGGAGUUAGAGAUGAGACGUGCCUUUACAGACGAAGGGUGGCAAAUAUGAAUGCUCCCUGUAUUAGAUUUCCUGCAGGAAGCCCUGCAGGACUGCACCACCUACAAAAUCACAGCCUUCGAGUAGCUAAGUGCCCGUUAGGUGCAAACUGGGAAUCCUGGCUGGAGGUGGUAAAUUGCCUUAUGGGCUGCAAGCAGAAAUACAAGUAGAGCAGAAAUACAAAUACAGUUUGUUGCUGUCAAAUAUUGUAGGGGAGAAAUGUUGAUGGACGAUUUUCUGCAUGGUGAAAGCUAAAAAGAGCUUGGGAGCUGACAGGACACUGGAGUCACUUGUUUUAGUACUCAAAAGACAAUAAAUCAACGCAGAGAUAUCAGUUGUCACAUGUCCUACUUAUUUUUACAAACCUGCCUAAUAGGUGUUUUGUCUAGGCCAAGCUUCAGCCACUACCUGUUUGUUCACAGCCCAGCAGUAAAGCAGGCUAAAGUGCUUAGUCCGGUAAAACAAAGGAAGGAGGGCAGCAGCAAAACCCAAACCUUCUUUGUUUUAGGAUCAUCAUCCAGUCCAAAGUGCAAGUCCACAGGAUCUGAAUCUGUCGGAUGCUGAUUUUAGGGCACUGAGAAGGACGCCGUGCUCGUGUUGUCAGCGUUGUGCAGAAAAGAAGGGGAAGGAGCUCUUUGUCCCUUGGCAGACAGCCUUCAGCACGGUGUAGCAGAACAGCUGGGUAAUCCCAGGUGGAAAAAGGUGACUGUAGCACAAGCCUUGUGCUUGAUAAUUACAAAGAUCGAGGCUUCUUGGUGUAAUAAAAGGAUGCAGGCACCCUGUGAUGCGGAGCAGAGCAAGAGCAUGAAGUUGAAGCUAAUGCUGCAGAAAAUGUAAGGCAGUGUGAUAUAUAUAGUUCGCUGUACUCCAGCAGGGAUCCCUCUGAGAAACGUGGUUGUGUUCGUAGCCCGAGUGCCAAAGCCAUUCAACUUCGCUGUGUUUUCAUGCAUAGCAUCCACAGCAUAAAGAAGCACUGAGUGCACGGGGGAUGUAGCCAACAUUACUUAUUAAUUUAUACAGGAUCGGAGUCUUUCAUUGAUGUACUGCUGCUUACACCAGAAAUCUUCCUUUACAGAAACCCGGUGGAACAGCCCUCGAACAAAAGUAAUAAAAUGCAUGGGAGUGUAGCUCUGCUGUCACUGUGGUUUUGCUCUGCAGGAAGAAGGGAGAGGCUCAGAGCCGUGCCUUCUCUUUUAGACGUGCUCAGAGACCAACGAGGAGGGUACUGCAGGGGAGCUCACAGAAAUCCAGGCUGGUUUUCAGCCAGAUGGGUAGCAGGAAACAAAGUGCAUCCUUUGGGGGUGUGUUCAUUCCAGAAAUUGCCUGGUGGCAAAAUUAACGGGAAAAAAGGUGGCCAUGGAAGGGCAGCACUGCUGCUGGUUUCCACAGGUGCUUUUCGUUGCCAUCCUGUGGUGUAGCGAGUUCGCUCCUCGCCUGUGCCUCCAUCUCUGAUAAAAUCAGUAAGCAAGCCGAAUUAACACCAGCAGGUAACUACAGAACGUUUCACACAGACCUUGGUUAUACUUCAUACAGACCACACCACGAAAAAGAGAUGAUUCUUGCCAUUUAUGUCUCAUGGUGGCUUGCUUCUGUGCUGGGCCAGUAUGUUGCAGUACCAUAAAGUUUUUACAAAUAUUGCAUUCAACUGAGAGAGAGCAUUGCAGACAGACUUCGGAUUUUCCAUGAUAUGGAGGAGGGAGUUUCCUACACUUUGCCCAGUUCUUUUCCUUUUCCUGAAGAAAUAUCUGGAGCUCUAUCUUCCUCGGAAGAUUUAUUUUAUCCUGUGCCUCCUUGUUCUUAACAUAUCUGCAGAAAGCAAAGACCAAAAUGGAAAUACUAACGACUCUGUUCCAGUAAAGGAAAAUCAUCCCAAAGCACAGCUGUUAAAUAAAGAUCACCGAGGAAAAGGAAA
Anas platyrhynchos (mallard) is the source of this 6592-nucleotide non-coding RNA. The record is from RefSeq and is a predicted model, not a curated record. NCBI's taxonomy places the organism in Eukaryota, Metazoa, Chordata, Aves, Anseriformes, Anatidae.